Molecule: ribosomal RNA, 468 nt
Filed under: uncultured bacterium
Lineage: Bacteria
Description: partial 16S ribosomal RNA
Rfam family: Bacterial small subunit ribosomal RNA
Source: RNAcentral
GACGAACGCUGGCGGCGUGCUUAACACAUGCAAGUCGAACGGAAAGGCCCUGCUUUUGUGGGGUGCUCGAGUGGCGAACGGGUGCGUAACACGUGUGUAACCUGCCCUUCACUUUGGGAUAACUUCAGGAAACUGGGGCUAAUACCGGAUAGGAUCUCCUGCUGCAUGGUGGGGAUUGGAAAGUCUCGGCGGUUGGGGAUGGAUUCGCGGCUUAUCGGCUAGUUGGUGGGGUAGUGGCAUACCAAGGCUUUGACGGGUAGCCGGCCUGAGAGGGGGACCGGCCACAUUGGUACUGAGGUAGGGCGCAGACUGGAAUGGUGGGCAGUGGUGGGGAGUAUGGCACAACGAGAAGGAGCCUGUUGCGACAACGCCGCGUUCGUGAAGACGGCCUGCGGGUUAUGAACAGCAGUAGCCUGAGACGAAGCGGUAGUGACGGUAAUGGGUGAAGAAGCACCGGCUAACUACGUG